This 2161-nucleotide ribosomal RNA is filed under the name Gammaproteobacteria bacterium. Its description in RNAcentral is "partial 23S ribosomal RNA". It matches the Rfam family "Bacterial large subunit ribosomal RNA", at positions 1 to 2111 of the family's 2925-position model. Lineage: Bacteria; Pseudomonadati; Pseudomonadota; Gammaproteobacteria. The record is from RNAcentral. RNAcentral also lists the same sequence under 1 other name.
AGUUAAGAUAGUACGGCAUACGGCGGAUACCUAGGUGACAGACGGCGAUGAAGGACGUAGUAAGUUGCGAUAAGCCUCGUGGAGCUGCUAAACAAGCUGUGAUACGGGGAUUUCCGAAUGGGGAAACCUAGCUGAGCAAACCUCAGUUAUCUUGCAGUGAACACAUAGCUGCAAGAGGCGAACGGAGGGAAGUGAAACAUCUCAGUACCUCCAGGAAAAGAAAUCAACCGAGAUUCCCUUAGUAGCGGCGAGCGAACGGGGAACAGCCCAAACCGGGGAGAUACGUUUUCCCGGGGUUGUGGGACCUCAACAUGGUAUCCCUGCAGAUAGUGGAACGGUCUGGAAAGUCCGGCAAUACAGGGUGACAGCCCCGUACACGAAAUCUAAAGGGGACCUAGAGGUAUCCCGAGUAGCCCGGCCCACGUGAAAGGCUGGGUGAAUCUGGGAGGACCACCUUCCAAGGCUAAAUACGUUCUGUCAACCGAUAGUGAACUAGUACCGUGAGGGAAAGGUGAAAAGAACCCCAAUGAGGGGAGUGAAAUAGAACUUAAAACCGUAUGCCUAUAAGCGGUAGGAGGGCUAUGUUUCAGCUUGCUGAAAAAUGCCUGACCGCGUGCCUUUUGCAUAAUGAGCCGGCGAGUUACCGUCUGUGGCAAGGUUAAGCCGAACGAGGUGUAGCCGAAGCGAAAGCGAGUCUGAACAGGGCGAUUUAGUCACUGGCGGUAGACCCGAAGCGAGUCGAUCUAUCCAUGGCCAGGGUGAAGCAUUGGGAAAACCUUUGUGGAGGCCCGAACCGGGGAGGGUUGAAAACCUCUCGGAUGAGCUGUGGAUCGGAGUGAAAGGCUAAUCAAGACUCGUGAUAGCUGGUUCUCCCCGAAAUAUAUUGAGGUAUAGCCUCGUGUGAUGGCGCGUGGAGGUAGAGCACUGAAUGGGCUAGGGUGCUGAAAGGCUUACCAAACCCAAUCAAACUCCGAAUACCACGUUGCUUAGCACGGGAGUCAGUCGGUGGGAGAUAAGUUCCAUCGGCGAAAGGGAAACACCCCAGAUCAUCAGCUAAGGCCCCUAAAUCCGGACUAAGUGUUAAAGGAUGUGAGACCGCAUAGACAGCCAGUAGGUAGGCUUAGAAGCAGCCACCCUUUAAAGAAAGCGUAACAGCUCACUGGUCGAUGCGAUCCUGCGCCGAAAAUGAAUCGGGGCUCAAGUCCGGUGCCGAAGCUAUGGGUUGUAUAUAUUUAUACAGCGGUAGGGGAGCGUUCUCAAAUGGCUGAAGGGUUACCGAAAGGAGGCCUGGACGUUUGAGAAGUGAGAAUGCCGGCAUGAGUAGCGAUAAAAGUGGUGAGAAUCCACUUCGCCGAAAACCCAAGGGUUCCUGGGCAAGGCUCGUCCUCCCAGGGUAAGUCGGGACCUAAGGCGAGGCCGAAAGGCGUAGUCGAUGGAAAACAGGUUAAUAUUCCUGUACCACCUUACAUGAGCGAAGGGGUGACUGAGAAGGGUAGGUCAGCCGGGUGAUGGAUGUCCCGGUUCAAGCCUGUAGGGUGAGGGAUAGGCAAAUCCGUCCCUCAUAAAAGCCUGAGAGGUGAGUACGAGAGGCUUUAAGCCUCACAAAGUGACUGAACCCAUGCUUACGAGAAAAGCCUCGUAGUGUUGAUUGUAAGGUGCUCGUACCCUAAACGGACACACGUGGGUGAGUUGAGAAUACUAAGGCGCGUGAGAGAACUCUGGCCAAGGAACUCGGCAAAUUGGCCCCGUAACUUUGGAAUAAGGGGUGCCCGCAUUAGGUGAAGGCACUUGCUGCUGGAGCCGAAGGUGGUCGCAGAGAAAUGGCGGUGGCGACUGUUUACUAAAAACACAGGGCUCUGCUAAGUCGUAAGACGACGUAUAGGGUCUGACACCUGCCCGGUGCCGGACGGUUAAAGGGAAGGGUUAUCUUCGGAGAAGCUCUGAACUGAAGCCCCGGUAAACGGCGGCCGUAACUAUAACGGUCCUAAGGUAGCGAAAUUCCUUGUCGNNNNNNNNNNNNNNNNNNNNNNNNNNNNCCUGCAUGAAAGGUGUAACGAUUGCCACGCUGUCUCGGCCAGAGACUCAGUGAAAUUGUAGUCCCGGUGAAGAUGCCGGGUACCCGCGGCAGGACGGAAAGACCCCGUGCACCUUUACUAUAACC